Papaver somniferum (opium poppy) is the source of this 1214-nucleotide long non-coding RNA. RefSeq lists it as uncharacterized. The record is from RefSeq and is a predicted model, not a curated record. The transcript is spliced from 6 exons. NCBI's taxonomy places the organism in Eukaryota, Viridiplantae, Streptophyta, Magnoliopsida, Ranunculales, Papaveraceae.
UAUCAAGAGAGUCAAGAAAACCAUGCAUUGUUUCUCGAGUACCCUUAUCUUCUGUCCAUUCUCUCGUUCCUCUGCUCUCUUCUCAUUUUAUCUCCUGAUGAAACCAUCAAAGAACAAACCCUAGACAUCUACUGAAACCAUUAAAGAAUAAAAAUGAUUCUCUAUAAACCCUUGCAUCUACUACAAUCCAGUAAACCAAAUCAAUCUCUUCUCCCAACAGAUCCAUUCUAGGUCAUCUUCUUUUAAGGCGAAUGAUAAGAGAAACCCCUAAUUUAUUCUUCAACUUUCUCAUAAUACUUAUUUUAUGAUUGUCACAGCCAUCUAAUAUCUUCAAUUUAAAUUUUGAGGGUUUUGUAGUGAACAACUUAUCUUCAAUUGGUCGGGUGGUGAUGUCAAUUAUCUUGAUAUUAUUCGAGGUGAUCCCGGUGAUUAAAGUUUCUCAAGUUGUAAUGGGAAUUUCAUGGGGAACCUUAUCUAUGGGGAGUAUUUAGAAAGAGAAUUGUUCAUGUUUAAUGCCUCCUCCAUGUUCAUGUAACAGUUUCUGAGCUGAAGUACUGAUGAACUGAGGUAGUGAUGAUUGAUCAACUUGAUGCUGUAGAAUCUUCCGUUGUGAUGGGUUCAAGUCCAUUGCCAGCAUUAACAGUUGCCUCGAUAAUUGAUUUCAUAUUUAACUAUGGCAAAGGAAGCGCUUGUUCUACGUGUAAUGAGAUUCCUUGCACAUUAGCUUCUGUCGAUGCCCUUUAAAGGUACACACAGCUUUCCAGCGAUCCCCUUUGCAGAACUAGCAAACCUUGCAUUUUGUCCGUUGAUAUAGAUCAAUCCAAGGGAUCAUAAAAUGCAACAGUAAGCUAAUUGACCUAUUAGUUUCUGACAUGAAACCAAGUGCGGAAGCUUCCUAUUUCAAGUGUUGCAGAUUCCUCUUCUUUAAAGACACCACCUGACAAGUACUGGAACUAUGGAGAAGCAUUAUGGUGAUGUUAAAUUUCACUCAUGUUGCGGUGGUAGUUUUUCUAUAGUGAUUUAUUUUUUAGAUUUCUAUAUCGUAAAUUAUUUUCAGAUUCGGAACUGAUUGUAGUUUGUUAUUGUAAAACGAAAUCCAUGUGUUUAGUGAAUUUUUCGCAGAUUUAAAACCUGUGUAAUUGUAGUUUGUUGGGGUUGUAUAAUGAAUUUAGUGAAUAUAAGUUUAAUUCAAUUUCAGUUCUUGUUUGUUUCAA